GCUUAACGCGAAGAACCUUACCUACUCUUGAAUCCGCGGAAUCUGGCAGAAAUGUUGGAGUGCCUUCGGGAACCGUGAGACAGGUGCUGCAUGGCUGUCGUCAGCUCGUGUCGUGAGAUGUUGGGUUAAGUCCCGUAACGAGCGCAACCCUUAUCCUUAGUUACCAGCGAAUAAAGUCGGGGACUUUAAGGAGACUGCCGGUGAUAAACCGGAGGAAGGUGGGGAUGAUGUCAAGUCCUCAUGGCCCUUACGAGUAGGGCUACACACGUGUUACAAUGGCCGGUACAAAGGGUAGCCAACCCGCGAGGGGGAGCUAAUCUCAUAAAGCCGGUCGUAGUCCGGAUUGGAGUCUGCAACUCGACUCCAUGAAGCUGGAAUCGCUAGUAAUCGCGAAUCAGAACGCCGCGGUGAAUACGUUCCCGGGUCUUGUACACACCG
RNAcentral lists this ribosomal RNA (438 nucleotides) under uncultured bacterium. RNAcentral describes it as "bacterial SSU rRNA". It matches the Rfam family "Bacterial small subunit ribosomal RNA", at positions 954 to 1392 of the family's 1533-position model. The record is from RNAcentral.